AUUGAACGCUGGCGGCAUGCCUUACACAUGCAAGUCGAACGGUAACGCGGGGCAACCUGGCGACGAGUGGCGAACGGGUGAGUAAAGCAUCGGAACGUGCCCAGUAGUGGGGGAUAGCCCGGCGAAAGCCGGAUUAAUACCGCAUACGACCUACGGGUGAAAGGGGGGGAUCGCCAGACCCCUCGCUAUUUGAGCGGCGGAUGUCAGAUUAGGUAGUGGGUGGGGUAAAGGCCUACCACGCCGACGAUCUGUAUCUGGUCUGAGAGGACGACCAGCCACACUGGGACUGAGACACGGCCCAGACGCCUACGGGAGGCAGCAGUGGGGAAUUUUGGACAAUGGGCGCAAGCCUGAUCCAGCCAUGCCGCGUGCGGGAAGAAGGCCUUCGGGUUGUAAACCGCUUUUGUCAGGGAAGAAAUCCUUUGGGUUAAUACCUCGGGGGGAUGACGGUACCUGAAGAAUAAGUACCGGCUAACUACGUGCCAGCAGCCGCAGUAA
RNAcentral lists this ribosomal RNA (498 nucleotides) under uncultured bacterium. RNAcentral's name for it is "partial 16S ribosomal RNA". It matches the Rfam family "Bacterial small subunit ribosomal RNA", at positions 29 to 523 of the family's 1533-position model. The record is from RNAcentral.